AUGUCUCUUAAAUGGUGGAUCCCAGCGUCUUCAGUUCGGUCCCUGGAAAAAGAAAAAAGAUCAUUCCCUCCAGUCCCCGUUGACCUCAUUCUUGUCAGGAUGAGUGAGGAAAAACAGUUACGGGCAAGGCAGUACCUCCGUUCAUGGAGAUCUGCUAAACAAGUGAUGAAUAGGAUAGCUGAAAGCACUGCCAGUGUUUGUGUCACAGAACACCAUGUGGCUGAUGCCAGCUUGUCCAGCAGUCCAUCCGGUGUUCUUGCGCCUAUUGGUGACAUGGACAACUCCUUGGACUUGGAUGAGUCAUUUGAGGAUCGUUCUGCUUUGGAGGAUGACCUCGAUGACUGGAUGGAUGUUGAUCCCUCUGAUGAUGAGGAGGAAGAGGUUUUUGGGGAUGACCUGGAGGCGUCCGACCAGCGUCCGGCAUCGCUCGCAUCUGACCUCGCUAGCUGGGCUUGCCAGUUUCAGGUGAAACACAAUGCUGUUGAUGACCUUUUGAAAGUUUUGAGAGGUCACGGACACACUGACCUGCCUUCCACCACCAGGACACUCCUGAAGACACCAAGGGAGGUCAGGAUCACAUCAAAGUCUGGUAUGGAGCAUGUCCAUUUUCCUAUCAAGGACAAAUUGCAACAGACUCUAUUGAGAUACCCAGCAGACCAGGUCCCCGACUGUGUUGACCUUUCCUUCAACGUAGAUGGGCUACCUCUGUUUAAGAGCUCAGGAAGAACAAUGUGGCCCAUCCUUUGUGCUGUCCAUUUAAAACCAGUGUCAGUCUUCCCUAUCACCCUGACUUGUGGAGGUUCGAAGCCACAGAAUCUGGAAUUCCUGGAAGACAUGGUGAUGGAUGUCAACAACCUCCUGUCCAGUGGCCUGCAACAUAGGAACAAAACAAUAAAAUUCAACAUUCUAUGUUUUGUGUGCGAUGCUCCUGCAAAGGCCUUUGUGAAGAAUGUUAAACUUUGCACAGGCUAUUAUGGGUGUGACCGGUGUGUGCAGAGGGGUGAGUGGUAUGAGAAGGUUACUUACCAAGACACAGAGGUGGUGGCUCGUAGUGACGACUCCUUCCGCCAACAGACACAGGGCGAGCAUCAUCAUGGCAGCACCCCGCUUUUGGAUUUACCCAUUAACAUGAUCGGUGCAUUUCCCAUCGAUUACAUGCACCAGGCAUGCUUGGGUGUAAUGAAGAGGCUUCUCUUCAUGUGGUGCAGAGGAGUGAAGGGCCUGAAGAUGUCGGCAACCCAAAUAGAGGAGGUCAGCAGCAGGCUCACCAACCUCCGUCCACACAUCCCUUCCAGCUUCGCCCGCAAACCGAGAGAUCUUAAAGAGCUUGAGAGAUGGAAGGCAACGGAACAUAGGCAGUUUAUGUUAUAUACAGGAAAGAUUGUGCUGAAGGGGGUCCUUAAAGAUGAAUUUUUCAGCCACUUCAUGACAUUCAGUGUGGCAAUGAACAUACUUGUAAGUCCAGCAUUGGUCGAGCAACACUGGAGAUAUGCUGCUGAUCUCCUCCGAUUCUUUGUUGAGAGAGGCCGAGAACUUUAUGGUAACCAGUUUCUGGUCUACAACGUGCACUCAAUGUUGCACAUUGUGGAGGAUGCCGUGACCUUUGGAGGAUUGGACAAUUGUAGCGCUUUUAAAUUUGUAAAUUGUCUCAAGAAAAUAAAGAGGAUGGUAAGGAGUGGAAGAUGCCCCCUGUCACAAGUGGUGAAAAGGCUUGAGGAAUGCGCUGGACAGCCAAUGGAGCAUGGUAGGCAGAGGUCCAAUUCUUCUUUUAUUUUGAAUCGCCGCGAAUGCUGCGAGGUCAUAGAGGAGAGGGACGGAAGCCAGCUUUUCCGUGUAUACCAGCACCCAGAACCACUUUUCAGUGUCCCUUGUGACUCCACAUUAAUCGGAGUACUGAAGUACAAGAACAAUGACACCGUUUUGAGAUGGAUCCAAAAUGACAACCUGAAAAGAAAGGCAAUCAAGAUUCCUGUGGGGGAAAAAAUCCUCUUCAUGGCCAUUCUUCAUGACAUUGCAGUAUGUUGUAUUUUGCUCAGUGUAUUAUCAUUGCAAUUUCUUGUACAGACACAAUUAUUCUUUACUGUAUUAAAUUAACCUCUCUGUUCUUGAUUACAGAAUGUAUAGCAUCGUCGAAUUUUUGGGGGAAAGGACUGUUGGCAUAGUGGCCAGUAAUUGGAUUAUAAAAGAGGGAGAUGUAAGUACAUGCGAAAAACCUUUAUGUCAAUCAUUUCAAAAAUUCUAUGCAAGUUCUGCAAAACUAUUUUGUUUUCCAUUUCAGAAGACGUGCAGCUACUGGCCACUCCACAAGCCCACACAGAGGGCAAAGGACAAAGAUUUGCCCGAUCCUAAAACCUGGCUAAAAAGGCCAAUAAAAAUAUUUGUGUGUUAAUGGGCGACAAAUAACAAGUGGUGACAUGCAACACAUUUAAAAGAGUGUAAUUUCUAAUUGUUUUGGCCCACCUGACUGUUUAGAUGAUUGGGAUCAGGCCGUCAGGAGGAACAAGAGGGCGGAGACAAAGUCCUGUGUGGAGACAGGAAAUGAGGACAUAGGGAGGCGCAUCAUAGUCAAACCCCAAAAAUGUAUUCACACCGGUAUAUCUGCACAUCCUUGUGUACUGUAUUAACUUAGUGUUAAAAGUGCAAGCAGCAAUUCUAAACAAUGUGUAAACAUGUAACACUGUUAUUUACUUUCGGCUAAUAUGAUUCUGUUCAGGUGAAAAGAGAACAAAGAAACGAAAUGGGAAAAAGGCAGGACAAGGUCCACAUUUCAGGACUUCCCUUCCUCCUCCACCCCAGAUAGAAUCCCCCAUUCCACGGCGUAGCGCACUACAAGUAUCUUCACCCCCUGUGACUGAUGACGGUAGAGUUUUGCAAGGGAAUGAUGGUUAAAAACAAAUACAAAUAAUUGCAUAGAAGUCAAGAAGACACUAUGUUUCGAAACAAAAACACAUAACCUAAAUUCUUAUCUUGUUCUUUCUGUAGAUUACUCCCCUCCUUCACCGGCAAGAGACGUUUUUACAGAAAAUGAUGGUAAAGUUAUGCAUGGUAAUGAUGACGAAUGAUGAUGACAUAACAGUAAUUCUAUGAGCCAAGACAACAAAGAGUUUGAAACCAAAAAAAAACAUUGAAUUAUUAUUUUGUACUUCCUGCAGAUGAUUCGAUUGCGUCUUCAUUUGAAACGCCAUUGCCUAUCUCUACUGGGGACGGUAAAGUGGCGGGUGGAGAGGGUGGUUAAAACCAAACUAGUAACUCUUAUCAACAGGUUAUGACAGUCAUCUGUCUAUACUAACCCUACACAUUAUGCUUUAUACACAUUACUUAGGUGACCGAAGGGAGAGAGAAACCAUACCAAUCUGGGCAAAGAAUAUUAACGGUAAUACAUGUAUUGAACUGUAUUGCACUGUAUGCAAAUGACACCAAAUACUACUAAAUACACUCCUCUCAUCUCAACAUAUAUUUUUUACAGCGACAUUGGAGGUUCUGCUCCGAAGGCUUGAGACUGUUGAGCAGAAUCAGAGAGAGGCUCUAUUAUUGCUACGGGCAAAUCGACAUGGGGACCCUGGGGAAGCUAGUGUCGAGUUACUGCAGGCGCAAACUCAGGCCGAACUACAGGAACUCGAGGAGCACCUUAAAAAUAGAGAAUGUACGAAUAAUGGUGAAGUGACUUUAGGCUAUAUUGUACACAUGCCACCAAGUGUGCCACAUGGCCCUGCCAUUGAGCUUUUUUCAUCUUUAGUUCCCUGUUGUUAGCUAAGUAGUUAGAGAUGAGCAGUCCAUCUUCAAAUACCUUAAUUUGGUUCACCCCCCUCAAAAGAAAACACCACCAACACCACAUGAAAAAUACAAUGCAAAUACUUGCCUUAACCAUGGUUGUUUGAUUUCCUUAGAUUUCCCAUCUGAGCCUAGUUGGGGGGUCCAAUCCUGGGGAGUGUGUGAGGAGGGUGUUGCGCUCUGUGGCCUCAAACUUUGUUUGGAGCAGCUACAGCCUUAGGGGAAAGAAGGGGAAGAUGCCACUGCUUGGCACAGCAGUGGGCAGUACCAUCAAACGUAAGUCUAAAUAUGUGCAAACAAAUCUAUUUAGCUGUUUCAGCUAUUUUUCUACACCUUUUAGCUGAUGUGAUCCGUUUCUUCCAAAGACUCCUCAUUUAGGGAUGGACAUGAUUAAUCGACGAUCGACUAAUUGAUCAUUAAGAAUUUCGUCGAUGACGUACAUUUUUCAUCGAUAAAACUAAUGCUAAAAAAUAUCUUCACACGGUGUGUCUUUUUACAAUUACCAUUCGUAUUGUUGUUCAGCAGAGAAAUACAGACGGACCAAUUGCGAACUACUGCAACUGCUGAUGCCAUCUCUCCA
This 4351-nucleotide long non-coding RNA is filed under the name Gadus morhua (Atlantic cod). Its description in RNAcentral is "lncRNA (ENSGMOG00000026034.1)". Lineage: Eukaryota; Metazoa; Chordata; Actinopteri; Gadiformes; Gadidae. The record is from RNAcentral.